This 292-nucleotide ribosomal RNA is filed under the name uncultured bacterium. RNAcentral describes it as "partial 16S ribosomal RNA". It matches the Rfam family "Bacterial small subunit ribosomal RNA", at positions 505 to 796 of the family's 1533-position model. The record is from RNAcentral.
GUGUCAGCAGCCGCGGUAAUACGAAGGGGGCGAGCGUUGUUCGGAUUUACUGGGCGUAAAGGGCGCGCAGGCGGCAGCUCAAGUCAGGCGUGAAAGCCCCGGGCUUAACCUGGGAACUGCGUCUGGGACUGAAUUGCUAGAGUUCGGGAGAGGAGAGUGGAAUUCCCAGUGUAGAGGUGAAAUUCGUAGAUAUUGGGAAGAACACCGGUGGCGAAGGCGGCUCUCUGGACCGAGACUGACGCUGAGGCGCGAAAGCGUGGGGAGCAAACAGGAUUAGAAACCCGUGUAGUCC